Phyllostomus discolor (pale spear-nosed bat) is the source of this 1257-nucleotide long non-coding RNA. RefSeq lists it as uncharacterized. Lineage: Eukaryota; Metazoa; Chordata; Mammalia; Chiroptera; Phyllostomidae. The transcript is spliced from 2 exons. The record is from RefSeq and is a predicted model, not a curated record.
ACUUAUUGAUGCAUUCAUUGGUUGAUUCUUACAAGUGUCCUGACAGGGGAUCAAACCUACAAUUUUGGUAUAUUAGGACCACACACUAACCAACUGAGCUACUCAUUCAGGGCAUGGCAAAUAAUGUCUAAAUCUAGAUAAAUCGUUUUUAAAAACACACUAUUUGAGGGCACUAGAAAGUUAUAAAGUUAGGAGCAGACCAGAGGAGGGUUUACCUUUGAAACAUAGAAACUGCAAUGGGUAAGAAUCACAAGUUUGGGCAUUAUGCCUGAGGGUGCUCACCACCACUAUUCUUACCAACAUCCCCAUUCAAUACCCAUAGCUCUUGCAGCAGAAAAAUACAGUCUUACAGUCCUGUGUGACAGCAGAGCACAGAAAUCGGGGCAGACAGAUUAGCUAUAAAUUUAGGGGGAGAAAUCCUAAAAACAAUAGAGCUACAGAAGGAGAGAAACCCAAAUCCUUGGUUUACCAUUAAAAUUCACAUUCAGGAGGGGAGACAGGAAGGGAUUCAGAGUAAAGCAAGCAAAAAUCAGAUGGGAGUAUGUCCUUUGAAAACUAGUAGGAUAUGUAUGUUUACUGCUUUUUUCAGACUGAUGGAAUUUCCCAAGCAGUGCGUAGUUCACAGAGCAGAAAGCUAGGGUCUGACUAACUUGAGAUGUUAGAAGACAGGCCUCAUGGCUGAGAAAGGAGCUGCAAAUUUAGGGAGGAAACUUGGAAAGAAAAAGACACACAGAGAGGUAAGGCCCAUAAUCUUAGUAACAACUCUGCCCAAACUCCUAGUGACAGCUAAUGACAGAGGUACAGGGAACAUUCCUCAGGCACUAGCUUCUAAAAGCAAUAGCUAUAAGCUGAAAGAAUUGAGCAGAGACAAAGACUACACAACACAGGGAAAAAAUGUGUAGUUUGUUUGAGACCAGUCAAGUUAACUGCCACUUAGAGCAACAACAAAGCCAUCCUUAGAGAACAUAACAGAAUCUAAAAUGACUAAGAGGUACUGCAAGCAAAUAGCCCAAAAGUCACCAAAGUAAAAUGAAAUACACAAAAGUAUUUCAUUAACACAAAAGAAAGUACAAAAUUCCAACAAAGGAAAGCCCAACACCAGGUGGCUUCAUUGGUGAAUUCUUUCUACCAAAUAUUUAAAGAAGACUUAAUAUCAAAAUUUAUCACUCUUCCAAAAAAAAAUGAAGAGGCAGCAACACUUUCUAACUCAUUCUAUUAGGUCAGCAUUACCCCAUUACCAAAGCCAAAGACACACUA